AAACUAGAUUAGAUACCCUAUUAUGCUUAGCCGUAAACCUAAAUAAUUAAUAAACAAAAUUAUUCGCCAGAGUACUACAAGCAACAGCUUAAAACUCAAAGGACUUGGCGGUGCUUUAUAUCCCUCUAGAGGAGCCUGUUCUAUAAUCGAUAAACCCCGAUAAACCUCACCACUUCUUGCUAAUUCAACUUAUAUACCGCCAUCCUCAGCAAACCCUGUCAAGGCCUCAAAGUAAGCAAAAACACAUACAUAAAAACGUUAGGUCAAGGUGUAGUCUAUGAAGUGGAAAGAAAUGGGCUACAUUUUCUAACAUAAGAAUAACAUCCCAACAGAAGCCUUUAUGAAACUAAAAGCCAAAGGAGGAUUUAGCAGUAAAUUAAGAAUAGAGAGCUUAAUUGAAUUGGGCCAUGAAGCACGCACACAUCGCCCGUCGCUCUU
RNAcentral lists this ribosomal RNA (438 nucleotides) under Hapalemur occidentalis (Sambirano bamboo lemur). RNAcentral describes it as "partial 12S ribosomal RNA". It matches the Rfam family "Bacterial small subunit ribosomal RNA", at positions 769 to 1404 of the family's 1533-position model. The record is from RNAcentral. Lineage: Eukaryota; Metazoa; Chordata; Mammalia; Primates; Lemuridae.